This 523-nucleotide long non-coding RNA is filed under the name Homo sapiens (human). Its description in RNAcentral is "non-protein coding lnc-FAM218A-4:1". The record is from RNAcentral. Lineage: Eukaryota; Metazoa; Chordata; Mammalia; Primates; Hominidae.
AUGAUCAACAUAUUGAAGGCAGAUUUCACACUAGAUCCUGAAACUGCCCACCCCAAUUUUAUCAUAUUAGAAGAGAGAAAUAUAUGACGUAUGGGAGAAUGAAACCAAACUUUUCUUACAACCUAUACUGAUUUUCUUCUCACCUCACUAUCCUGAGCGCUGGAGGAUUUGAUGCUGGCAGGCAUCACUGGCAGGAAGAAGUAAGAAACACAGGACACCGGGCUACAGGAGUGUGCAGGGAGUCUCUUCAGCGAUGCUCUGACAUCAGCAUCACUCAGUGAGGGCUAGUGGCAAGUUCAGCUCUAGAUUAGUCCAUGUGGCACAAGGGACACGGGAGGACUGGCGCACGUUGACAUUUUUUCUGGAUUUUGCGUUUGGAAAGGUUUCAUUCUACAAUAAUAACAAUAGACUCCAAAUGUAUACCUUCCCUGAUACUUUUACAGAAAACCUUUGGCCUUAUAUCACUACUACACCUACUUCAAAUAUUUUACAGUCUGUGGAAUCUAAGAUGAAUGAUGAAUGA